CACUGCCUGGGAUUGUUGUUGGUGAGGAACAGUGUUGAUAAUGGCCCAUUAUUAAUGGGUCGCAACUUGCAAGACAUAUGGGUCUUCACUAUUAAGACUCUGCAACAUUAAAUACAUUUCUCGUGGGGUUCAUCCUAAUAUGCAUAUUGGUGUAUGUAUCUGUGCCUGCAUGAUUUAAUGACCAGCAAAAAACAGUAAUGGUCAAAGUAAAUAACAUGAUGGGAGAAGGUGAAAAAAGAGUUUAAACCUCGGAAGAGUUAAUACUGGUAAAACUCUGGGUCUUUCUUCAACGUUCUCA
This is a long non-coding RNA of Arabidopsis thaliana (thale cress), 298 nucleotides long. RefSeq annotates it as other RNA. NCBI's taxonomy places the organism in Eukaryota, Viridiplantae, Streptophyta, Magnoliopsida, Brassicales, Brassicaceae. The record is from RefSeq. The transcript has a single exon.